GAUGAACGCUAGCUACAGGCUUAACACAUGCAAGUCGAGGGGAAACGACAUCGAAAGCUUGCUUUUGAUGGGCGUCGACCGGCGCACGGGUGAGUAACGCGUAUCCAACCUGCCCACCACUUGGGGAUAACCUUGCGAAAGUAAGACUGAUACCCAAUGAUAUCUCUAGAAGACAUCUGAAAGAGAUUAAAGAUUUAUCGGUGAUGGAUGGGGAUGCGUCUGAUUAGCUUGUUGGCGGGGUAACGGCCCACCAAGGCAACGAUCAGUAGGGGUUCUGAGAGGAAGGUCCCCCACAUUGGAACUGAGACACGGUCCAAACUCCUACGGGAGGCAGCAGUGAGGAAUAUUGAUCAAUGGACGAGAGUCUGAACCAGCCAAGUAGCGUGCAGGAAGACGGCCCUAUGGGUUGUAAACUGCUUUUAUAAGGGAAUAAAGUGAGUCUCGUGAGACUUUUUGCAUGUACCUUAUGAAUAAGGACCGGCUAAUUCCGUG
Molecule: ribosomal RNA, 492 nt
Filed under: uncultured bacterium
Lineage: Bacteria
Description: partial 16S ribosomal RNA
Rfam family: Bacterial small subunit ribosomal RNA
Source: RNAcentral